UACGUAGGGGGCAAGCGUUGUCCGGAUUUAUUGGGCGUAAAGAGCGUGUAGGCGGCUUGAUAAGUCUGCUGUGAAAGUCCAGGGCUCAACCCUGGAAAGCCGGUGGAUACUGUCAAGCUAGAGUCCGGAAGGGGCGAGUGGAAUUCCUGGUGUAGCGGUGAAAUGCGCAGAUAUCAGGAGGAACACCAAUGGCGAAGGCAGCUCGCUGGGACGGUACUGACGCUGAGGAGCGAAAGCGUGGGGAGCGAACAGG
RNAcentral lists this ribosomal RNA (253 nucleotides) under uncultured bacterium. RNAcentral describes it as "partial 16S ribosomal RNA". It matches the Rfam family "Bacterial small subunit ribosomal RNA", at positions 524 to 776 of the family's 1533-position model. The record is from RNAcentral.